CCUGUCACUGCAGAACAAGGUAAUGCCAGUUAACAGCCGGCGUUAUUGAUGGUAUGCGGAGAGGAAGGGACGGCUAACUCUGUGC
RNAcentral lists this ribosomal RNA (85 nucleotides) under uncultured bacterium. Its description in RNAcentral is "partial 16S ribosomal RNA". The record is from RNAcentral.